This is a long non-coding RNA of Drosophila virilis, 2224 nucleotides long. RefSeq lists it as uncharacterized. Lineage: Eukaryota; Metazoa; Arthropoda; Insecta; Diptera; Drosophilidae. The record is from RefSeq and is a predicted model, not a curated record.
CAGGUACUAUCGAAUACUGACGCCAACUUGCACGCAUCGUACAUUUCCUUUAAUAGCUGUGGGUAUAACUUUUGCCAACGGAGGCUCGUGCUAUUUCGCAGAAUUUCACACAUUAAUCUGAUUGCAAAACUAUUGUCAAUUCUAAUGCAAUUAAAUUUAACGAUACAGACGGCGGCCUGGCAAUUAAAGUAAAAGCAAAAGUUUUUCUCAAUCAACGUCAGCUGGACUUCACACAAAAAAAAAAGAAAAUCGAACGUACCAUACCAAAACGACAACUUGUACUAAUACCUCGAGAAAUUUACAGUAGAUGAACCAUAUUGCAGUCCUAUAUGGAUCGUCCCCGAAAAAGCGGAUGCCUCAGGACAUAAAUCCUUGGAAAACUUGACAGACGUCAAUAUUUUACUACUAUUGACAUAGCCAAAGGCUUCAAUCAAAUCGAAAUGGAAGAAACCUCUGUUUAAAAAUCGGUCUUUUCAGCAAACAUCGGCCACUUUGACUUAAAAAUUGGUUUAAAUAUUGCACCAGCUCAUUUUCAGGGAUUGCUGCAUAAUGUCUUAAGAAAACUACCCUAAUUAGCAUCGUCUGACAUAUAUUGAAGAUAUAAUUGUGUAUUCAACUUUCUUGGAUACGAUAACUGCGAUGAAAAACUUUCCUUUGCUAAAAUCGGCAAAACAAAUCAAAUCAUUUUUAUAAUUUUUUGGUUUUUGAGUACAUUUAUUCCUAAUUUCUCAUACAAAUCCAAGCUAUUAACACUUGGGCCUUAAAAAGGAGCCACAACAAUACAAAAUACACCCAAUCUAGUUUAAAGUAACCACUGAAUCAUACAAAGAAGAAAACCUUUAAAUUAAUUCGACCGACAAAUUAAGAUUACAAAAUCGGGACAAGAUGACGUUCAAAUAACAAAAUAUUCUUCGAAAAGUAUAAUAAACAUAGAAUAUAUCCAAUUGACCCUUGAAAAGACUAAGGAUUAUAUAUUUUUGCAAAAGAAGCUCUGCACGUAACAUGAAACAUGAGAAAAAUUACUGAAUUUUCCAACGGCAAUAAAUUGAAUCAAUUCAAUAAAGGAGAUGAUACCAUUAACGAUUCUAGAGAAUAUAUAAACAUAUAAACUAAAAUAAAAAAAAAUAUGGAUAUUAACAACAAAAUUGAUAACAUGUUUAAGCAACUACAAUUACUACUAUCCCAGAUUCUCAGAAAUAAUAUAAAAUAUAAUAAAUAAUAAAAUGAGACAUUUGUAACCAAUGCAAAUUAGAACACAGAGAUAGUAGACCAAUGGAAAUAACUACCGAACCCCUGUAAAAGAAAAAUAUGUAUAGAUUUUUACUUUAUUUCUAUAUAUAUAUACAACUGUUUGUCCUGAUUGACUGACCGACUGACUGGAGAUCUAGAAGGUAGCUAAAAUUGUUGCUGUAGUUACCUUAUGUGAUGAAGCACCUAAAGAUGGGUUUUCGGGAAAUUCUACCUACGUGUGUGGAAAUAUCUUUAAAAUCCGUUGACACGUGUUUCACAUUUUUCUCAAAAUCAAAGCUUCUUUGGCAGAGAGUGCGGUUUUUAGAAAUUAUUAGUGAACUUAUUUUCAGAGAUCUACAUAAGAGCUUAAUGUACUCGUGUUACAGUGAUUUGGGAAAUUCCGCCCAUAACAAUGGUUAAUUAGUUAAAAACAGUUUUAUGAAAGUUUUUUGCUUAACAUCAGAUCGGCCUAACAAGUGCUUCGCACUUUUUGGAAAAUCUAGCCCCCCUUGAUGGAAAUAAGGAUCAAAGAUUUGUCGGUGACGUUUCGCUCUCAAAUUCAAUGCUAGGGAUUUAUAUGAAAUAUCAUCUUAGAUGUAAUUGCCAUUUCUUUGUUAAAUAAACGAUUCAAAGAAUUUUUGUGUUAAAGUCUUAAGUUUUGCCUGAUUUGCUUUAAACUUAUUUUCAAAGUUCUACAUAAGAACUUAAUGAAUACGUAUUUCCUUGAUUUGGGAAAUAUCACCCGCAGCAGCGGUAAAUUCGCGUAAAUCGGCUGUAGGAAAGUUUUUUUUUAACUUACCGAUCGGUUUCAAAUUCAUUUUUAAAGAUCUUUGACAGCAUUUAUUUAAUAAAAAUCAUAUAUGUAUACAAUAUACAAAAAUAUACAAUUAUUCCAAAUUUCCCUCACUUAUAGGUGUUAUAGGUAUUCAACGGUAAAGAUUAGUUAGGAGCAAAAAGAGCUUUGUUUAACAUGGGAAAAUCCCAAGGAAUUAGA